UACGUAGGCAGCAAGCGUUGUUCGGAGUUACUGGGCGUAAAGAGUGCGUAGGCGGUUUUCUAAGUUUGGUGUGAAAUCUCCCGGCUUAACUGGGAGGGUGCGCCGAAAACUGGAAGGCUUGAGUAUGGGAGAGGUAAGCGGAAUUCCUGGUGUAGCGGUGAAAUGCGUAGAUAUCAGGAGGAACACCUGCGGUGUAGACAGCUUACUGGACCAUAACUGACGCUGAGGCACGAAAGCGUGGGUAGCAAACAGG
Molecule: ribosomal RNA, 253 nt
Filed under: uncultured bacterium
Lineage: Bacteria
Description: partial 16S ribosomal RNA
Rfam family: Bacterial small subunit ribosomal RNA
Source: RNAcentral